This is an RNA transcript of Homo sapiens (human), 4311 nucleotides long. It is a transcript of the gene named RAP1 GTPase activating protein, with no coding region annotated. NCBI's taxonomy places the organism in Eukaryota, Metazoa, Chordata, Mammalia, Primates, Hominidae. The record is from RefSeq and is marked reviewed. The transcript has 24 exons.
GCGUUGCCAAGGUGACCCGGGCGCGGGAAGGCGGCUCCGGCUCGCGCGGGCCGGGCCGGGCGGCGGCGGCGGCACCAUGAGCGGCCGGAAGCGCAGCUUCACCUUCGGGGCCUACGGCGGGGUGGACAAGUCCUUCACUUCUCGCCGGAGUGUGUGGAGGAGCGAUGGGCAGAACCAGCACUUCCCUCAGGCACUAGACCUGUCACGAGUGAACUUAGUUCCCUCCUAUACUCCUUCACUCUACCCUAAGAACACAGAUCUAUUUGAGAUGAUUGAGAAGAUGCAGGUGAGGAUGGCUCUGUGGCCUGUUCUGGGGAGCCACAGAGCUGGCUGGGCUGGGGCUGGGGGGCCCUUGCUGCAUCUCCAGCCCUUCACCUCCCUGAGGACAGGCCACGCCAGUAGAAGAUGGUGGCUAUUGGUUGUCCAGGGUCCUCUGUCUGGAGGUCAGGGUAGAGGAUGCCCAACCCCAUCUCUGAUGCCGGAGUCCAUCUAGGCUCCCAGCUCCCAUCCCUGUGUGGAACUGCAACAGGGCUGGGGUCAGUUCAUCAACCCACCCCACAGACAUACACUGCCUCUCACCCAGUGAGAGACACCGCAGGCUUUGUGGUGGGGGGCCCAGGUGGAAUGGAACUGGAGGAGGGGACAGAUGCUGGGGGCCUGUCAGCCAGAGACUGUGCUGCAGGAGUGGGAGGUAUUACCCCUCCACCCUCCACCCCACAGCCCCGUCUGCGUUUCACAUAGGUAUGCAUGGGAGGUGGGCCGGGGGUGCUGGGAUGGGAGUGCCUUGAAUACCCUCUGAUCUUUGAUGCCUCCUGUUUCUCUUUCUGUCUCUCUCUCCAAUGCCUCCUAUUUCUCUGUCUUUCUGUCUCGUCUCUGCCUCUCCCUCCCCCUCUCUCCCUCAACACAUAUCUGUGUAGAUAACAGUCCCCCCACCCGCCAGCUCGCACACCGGCAUGUGCACCUCCCCUGCCCCCACUCCCAGCGGCACGUGCGUUCCCGCAGAGUCCCCAGCCCUCCCUGAGGCUGCCAGCCUCCAGCCCCGGUCACUACCGGGACAGCCAGCCCUUCAGACAGGCCCAGGGCCCCCAGCCAGCUAGCACCCUGCCCUGGGAGUACCCCUACCUUCGCGGGCCGCCUCCUAGGGCUUUCCCCUUGCACGCCUUGGGGAGGGGAGGCAGCGCCUGGCGGCAGGCCUGGGAGGGUGUAACAGUGCUGCCUUCUCUUACAGGGAAGCAGGAUGGAUGAACAACGCUGCUCCUUCCCGCCGCCCCUCAAAACAGAGGAGGACUACAUUCCAUACCCGAGCGUGCACGAGGUCUUGGGGCGAGAAGGACCCUUCCCCCUCAUCCUGCUGCCCCAGUUUGGGGGCUACUGGAUUGAGGGCACCAACCACGAAAUCACCAGCAUCCCCGAGACAGAGCCACUGCAGUCGCCCACAACCAAGGUGAAGCUCGAGUGCAACCCCACAGCCCGCAUCUACCGGAAGCACUUUCUCGGCAAGGAGCAUUUCAAUUACUACUCACUGGACGCUGCCCUCGGCCACCUUGUCUUCUCACUCAAGUACGAUGUCAUCGGGGACCAAGAGCACCUGCGGCUGCUGCUCAGGACCAAGUGCCGGACAUACCAUGAUGUCAUCCCCAUCUCCUGCCUCACCGAGUUCCCUAAUGUUGUCCAGAUGGCAAAGUUGGUGUGUGAAGACGUCAAUGUGGAUCGGUUCUAUCCUGUGCUCUACCCCAAGGCUUCCCGGCUCAUCGUCACCUUUGACGAGCAUGUCAUCAGCAAUAACUUCAAGUUUGGCGUCAUUUAUCAGAAGCUUGGGCAGACCUCCGAGGAAGAACUCUUCAGCACCAAUGAGGAAAGUCCCGCUUUCGUGGAGUUCCUUGAAUUUCUUGGCCAGAAGGUCAAACUGCAGGACUUUAAGGGGUUCCGAGGAGGCCUGGACGUGACCCACGGGCAGACGGGGACCGAAUCUGUGUACUGCAACUUCCGCAACAAGGAGAUCAUGUUUCACGUGUCCACCAAGCUGCCAUACACGGAAGGGGACGCCCAGCAGUUGCAGCGGAAGCGGCACAUCGGGAACGACAUCGUGGCUGUGGUCUUCCAGGAUGAGAACACUCCUUUCGUGCCCGACAUGAUCGCGUCCAACUUCCUGCAUGCCUACGUCGUGGUGCAGGCUGAGGGCGGGGGCCCUGAUGGCCCCCUCUACAAGGUCUCUGUCACUGCAAGAGAUGAUGUGCCCUUCUUUGGACCCCCCCUCCCGGACCCCGCUGUGUUCAGGAAGGGGCCUGAGUUCCAGGAAUUUUUGCUGACAAAGCUGAUCAAUGCUGAAUAUGCCUGCUACAAGGCAGAGAAGUUUGCCAAACUGGAGGAGCGGACGCGGGCCGCCCUCCUGGAGACGCUCUAUGAGGAACUACACAUCCACAGCCAGUCCAUGAUGGGCUUGGGCGGCGACGAGGACAAGAUGGAGAAUGGCAGUGGGGGCGGCGGCUUCUUUGAGUCUUUCAAGCGGGUCAUCCGGAGCCGCAGCCAGUCCAUGGAUGCCAUGGGGCUGAGCAACAAGAAGCCCAACACCGUGUCCACCAGCCACAGCGGGAGCUUCGCGCCCAACAACCCCGACCUGGCCAAGGCGGCUGGAAUAUCACUGAUUGUCCCUGGGAAGAGCCCCACGAGGAAGAAGUCGGGCCCGUUCGGCUCCCGCCGCAGCAGCGCCAUUGGCAUCGAGAACAUACAGGAGGUGCAGGAGAAGAGGGAGAGCCCUCCGGCUGGUCAGAAGACCCCAGACAGCGGGCACGUCUCACAGGAGCCCAAGUCGGAGAACUCAUCCACUCAGAGCUCCCCAGAGAUGCCCACGACCAAGAACAGAGCGGAGACCGCAGCGCAGAGAGCAGAGGCGCUCAAGGACUUCUCCCGCUCCUCGUCCAGUGCCAGCAGCUUCGCCAGCGUGGUGGAGGAGACGGAGGGUGUGGACGGAGAGGACACAGGCCUGGAGAGCGUGUCAUCCUCAGGAACACCCCACAAGCGGGACUCCUUCAUCUAUAGCACGUGGCUGGAGGACAGUGUCAGCACCACUAGUGGGGGCAGCUCCCCAGUGAGGUGGCUCCCUCCUGCCCCCCUCCCCAGGCCCCUCUCGAUCACCCCACCCAGACGCCGGCAAGUUGGGGGACCCUGCGUGUCCCGAGAUCAAGAUCCAGCUGGAAGCAUCUGAGCAGCACAUGCCCCAGCUGGGCUGUUAGCCGGGCCACCCCCUCUGAAGGUGAAACUGAGCAGAUGAGGCCACAGAAGCACAAGGGGAAGGUGCCGUGUCAAGCCCAGGCAGACGAGACCUCUGCCCUGAAGACCAACACCAGCCCGUGGGCUGCCCCCUGCCUCCCCACCCUCCCCAUGGCCCACCCAUCUGGGCUGUCUCUGCAGGGCAGAGCCGUCCAGACCUGGGAUCAGGGAAGCUGCUGGCAUCGUCCCCACCCCCAGCCUGGGGGUCUGGGCUGGGGCAGGGAUUGCUCAGUGGAAGCAGGACUGGGGGUCUGGCUUGCCCCCUCCCUGGGCCUCCAUCACCCCUGAGCAUCCCUCUGGACUCAGAGGGAACAAGGUGGGAGAGAGAGUUUGAGACAGCUCCGUGUGGAGAGCUUAGCCCCUGGAGGCAGCACAAGGAGGAUGUGAUAUGUGGGGGAGUGAGCACUGGGUUGGGAGCCGGGUCCUGGUUUCCAAUUUGGGUUCUGCUGUGUGACUCUGGGCAAGUCACUCUCCCUCUCUGGGCAUGUCUGCUACAAAUGGACAAGAUUAUUUCAGAGGUCACUGAAGACUGUGAUUACAUGCACCUGCCUUAGAAGGUAGGAUUUUCUUCCCAGGGACCUCCUAUCACCCUACCCUGCUUCUUGAGGUCCCUGGAGCCCCAGGUGGGCUGAGGGGCAGGGAGCCGGCUGUGCCCAGUAUGCCUCCUGGACCCUCCAGUUCUGCCACAGGUCUGCCGAUGCCCUGUCCACUGCCUACACAUGACAGACAAGUAACCCCCUCAUGGGGGAUGGGGACCUACCUGGCUCCUCAGCCAGCACCCAGCUUAACCCCUGCCAUCCCAUGCUGGGCCCUCCAGGCCAAGAGUCUCAGCUGGCCGAGAGUCCAGGCCUUGCCUCCCCCGACCGCCAUGGAGGGGGCAGCCCGGCACAGCUGCUGGGAGCCCUUGUGUGUCUGGUCACACUUUUUAGGCGUCACGCCAAAGGCCAGCCUCCUGGCCCCAAUACCCAUUUUGGAAGCCCCUGUGGCCGUGUGGAUGUCGGUAACAGUUGUAUAAAAUAAAUUCUAUUUAUCGCUAUUGUA